Molecule: long non-coding RNA, 1535 nt
Organism: Olea europaea var. sylvestris
Lineage: Eukaryota; Viridiplantae; Streptophyta; Magnoliopsida; Lamiales; Oleaceae
Exons: 3
Source: RefSeq, a predicted model, not a curated record
AAAUGUUAAGAAAAUUUUGGGAAUGAUUAUUAACAGGAAUAGACAAGAGAAUAGUCUAACUAAAACACAAAGUGCUUAUUUGCACAAGGUUAUAACCAAAUUUGGCAUGAAAGAUGCUAAGUGUGUGAAUGUACCUCUUGCAGCCCGUAUGAAUCUAUAAUCAGCCCAAUUACCUUAAACUGAAACUGAAGUGAAAGAAAUAAAGAAUAUCCUAUUUGUCAAUGCUAUAGGAUUUGUCAUUUUCUAUAAUCACUACUAGGCCAGACUUAGCUUAUGCUAUAAGUUUCUUAAGUAGAUUUAUGUCUAACCCUGGAAAACCUCAUUGGGCUGGGUUAAAAUGGCUUCUAAAAUAUAUAGCUAGGACAUUAAGUACCAGACUAGUGUCUGAAAGGAGAUUUGAACAGCUUACUUUAAAGGGGUAUGUAGACUCAUUCUAUUUCUUCACACUUGGUGAUAAUUGUAUCAUAAAUAAGUUAUAACUUCAAUCUACUAUCGCAUUAUCCAGUACGAAGGCUGAAUAUGUGGCAAUUACUAAAUUUGUAAAAGAAUGUAUCUAGUAGAAGUGAGUUUUGAGAUAAUAGAAUUUUUUGUACGAUUCACACAUAAUCUUCACUAAUAGUCAAAGUGCUUUACUACUAUGUAAGAAUCCUAUUUUCCAUAAGAGAUCCAAAUACAUUGAGGUGAAGUACCACUUUAUACGAGAGAAAAUUGCAUACAAUGAGUUCAUUCUUGAAAAAAAUCAUGCACGUGUAAAUCCAUUUGACAUAGGAACUAAAAUUCUAUCUAUUGGUAAGUUCAAAACUUGUCUGUCUUUGCUGAAUAUUGAUAAAUGGUAAUUUUUUGCAAAUACCUGGGCGAUGAUGUAGGGUAAACUACCAUCACGUACAAUGUAGCAAUUAGAGAGAGUAAUUGGUUAGAGAAACACAAGUUCUUUGCACAUAGUGACGGGCUAUUUAGCUCUGAGCCUCCAGAUUAGGUGUUGUCAAAUUGGGUGACCAUUUCUUCAGUUGGUAUUAACAUUUUAUGUGAGUUUGUGUUUCGGUGAUUUACUUAUUACCGAUUUUAGUGCAUGAAAUCCUAACAAGCAUCAAUGAAUAUUUAUGGUCAGAUUUUUUCUGUGCAAAUUUGCCUUCAAAAAUUUGCGUUGGUAACUCUUUUGGUUGCUUUGAUUGGCACCAGCGGAAGUGGAAAUCAGAGCAAAAAGAAGUAGCAACAACCACAGUACCACGUACUGCAGAACAGAAUAGAUUCACAGCCACCCAAACUUUUCCGAUGUCAUUCGGUUUGAUAAAUGGUUCCAGCCCAUUUUGGACUGUUGCAGAUUUGUCAGCCGAAAUUAUUGACUUCCCUAUCUCACAAAGGGGCCCACUAAUGGUAUUAUUAACUUUCCUAUCUCACAAAUGGGUCCACUAAUAGUCAGAAAAUCCUUUUCUUUUGGUAAAGAAUCUAUCUCUCCGCGCUGCGCGAAGAGAUCGUUUGGCACCCUUUUUUUAUUUUUUUUAUUUAGUACCAUCACUUUUUGAACCAUCAUUUUC